RNAcentral lists this ribosomal RNA (322 nucleotides) under Sandonidae sp. Its description in RNAcentral is "SSU rRNA". It matches the Rfam family "Eukaryotic small subunit ribosomal RNA", at positions 634 to 955 of the family's 1831-position model. The record is from RNAcentral. Lineage: Eukaryota; Cercozoa; Glissomonadida; Sandonidae.
GAUUUCUGGCUUGAAACAUUUUGCCGGCCACGGUUUCGUGUGUUAGUGCUUGAUGUUCUGGCCAUCCUUCCAAUUGCUAUUCACUUCUCUUCAUUGAUUGGUGAGUGGUAUUGGAUCUUUUACUUUGAAAAAAUUAGAGUGUUUCAAGCAGGCUUUAUGCUAUGAAUACAUUAGCAUGGAAUAAUAAUUUAGGACUUCGGUUCUAUUUUGUUGGUUCUCGGGACCGAAGUAAUGAUUGAUAGGGAUAGUUGGGGGUGCUAGUAUUCAGCGGCCAGAGGUGAAAUUCUCGGAUUCGCUGAAGACUAACUUAUGCGAAAGCAUU